Molecule: ribosomal RNA, 410 nt
Filed under: uncultured bacterium
Lineage: Bacteria
Description: bacterial SSU rRNA
Rfam family: Bacterial small subunit ribosomal RNA
Source: RNAcentral
UCGAGGAUCUUCGGCAAUGGGGGCAACCCUGACCGAGCGACGCCGCGUGGGCGAUGAAGGCCUUCGGGUUGUAAAGCCCUGUCGAGAGGGAGAAAAGCGCAAGCUUGAUCUAUCUCUGGAGGAAGCACGGGCUAAGUUCGUGCCAGCAGCCGCGGUAAGACGAACCGUGCGAACGUUGUUCGGAAUCACUGGGCUUAAAGGGCGCGUAGGCGGGCUGCCAAGUCUGUGGUGAAAUCCUCCAGCUUAACUGGAGAACUGCCGUGGAUACUGGCGGCCUCGAGGGUGAUAGGGGUCGGUGGAACUGUGCGUGGAGCGGUGAAAUGCGUUGAUAUGCACAGGAACUCCGGUGGCGAAGGCGACCGACUGGAUCACUUCUGACGCUGAGGCGCGAAAGCCAGGGGAGCGAACGG